GGCGCUUUAGCUCAGUCGGUAGAGCAACGGACUGAAAAUCCGUGUGUCCCCGGUUCAAGUCCGGGAGGCGCCA
RNAcentral lists this transfer RNA (73 nucleotides) under Caldithrix abyssi. Its description in RNAcentral is "tRNA-Phe". It matches the Rfam family "tRNA". From Rfam's summary of the family: Transfer RNA (tRNA) molecules are approximately 80 nucleotides in length. Their secondary structure includes four short double-helical elements and three loops (D, anti-codon, and T loops). RNAcentral also lists the same sequence under 1 other name. The record is from RNAcentral. Lineage: Bacteria; Pseudomonadati; Calditrichota; Calditrichia; Calditrichales; Calditrichaceae.